GACGAACGCUGGCGGCGUGCUUAACACAUGCAAGUCGAACGGAAAGGCCCUGCUUUUGUGGGGCGCUCGAGUGGCGAACGGGUGAGUAACACGUGAGUAACCUGUCCUUGACUUUGGGAUAACUUUAGGGAACUGGGGCUCAUACCGGAUAGGAGCUCCUGCUGCAUGGUGGGGGUUGGAAAGUUUCGGCGGUUGGGGAUGGACUCGCGGCUUAUCGGCUUGUUGGGGGGGUAGUGGCUUACCAAGGCUUUGACGGGUAGCCGGCCUGAGAGGGUGACCGGCCACAUUGGGACUGAGAUACGGCCCAGACUCCUACGGGAGGCAGCAGUGGGGAAUAUUGCACAAUGGGCGGAAGCCUGAUGCAGCAACGCCGCGUGCGGGAUGACGGCCUUCGGGUUGUAAACCGCUUUCGCCUGUGACGAAGCGUGAGUGACGGUAAUGGGUAAAGAAGCACCGGCUAACUACGUG
Molecule: ribosomal RNA, 468 nt
Filed under: uncultured bacterium
Lineage: Bacteria
Description: partial 16S ribosomal RNA
Rfam family: Bacterial small subunit ribosomal RNA
Source: RNAcentral